This 510-nucleotide ribosomal RNA is filed under the name uncultured bacterium. RNAcentral describes it as "bacterial SSU rRNA". It matches the Rfam family "Bacterial small subunit ribosomal RNA", at positions 28 to 534 of the family's 1533-position model. The record is from RNAcentral.
GAUGAACGCUAGCGGCAGGCUUAAUACAUGCAAGUCGAGGGGCAGCGGGUGUAGCAAUACAUGCCGGCGACCGGCGCACGGGUGCGUAACGCGUAUGUAACCUACCUUUAACUGGAGGAUAGCCCCGAGAAAUCGGGAUUAAUACUCCAUAAAAUUAUGAGAAGGCAUCUUUUUAUAAUUAAAGCUCCGGCGGUUUUAGAUGGGCAUGCGUGACAUUAGCUAGUUGGUGAGGUAACGGCUCACCAAGGCUCCGAUGUCUAGGGGUUCUGAGAGGAUUAACCCCCACACUGGUACUGAGACACGGACCAGACUCCUACGGGAGGCAGCAGUAAGGAAUAUUGGGCAAUGGACGCAAGUCUGACCCAGCCAUGCCGCGUGAAGGAUGACGGCCCUAUGGGUUGUAAACUUCUUUUGUACGGGAAAAACCUUCGAACGUGUUCGAAGCUGAUGGUACCGUAAGAAUAAGCAUCGGCUAACUCCGUGCCGGCAGCCGCGGUAAUACGUAGCGUG